RNAcentral lists this long non-coding RNA (527 nucleotides) under Homo sapiens (human). RNAcentral's name for it is "HSALNT0048179". The record is from RNAcentral. Lineage: Eukaryota; Metazoa; Chordata; Mammalia; Primates; Hominidae.
AGGAAGAAGCACGCUUAGUGAAAUAACAGUGGACACAAUCAUAAGGGAUCAUGUAAGCCUUUGUAAGGACUUUGGUUUUCGCUCUGGGAGGGGAAACCACUGGAUGGUAUAUAAUACAGCAGUGACGUAAUCUGACAUAUUUUAAAGACACUCUGGGCUGGGCGCUGUGACUCAGGCCUGUAAUCCCAGCACUUUGGGAGGCCGAGGCGGGCAUGGUGGCAGGCACCUGUAGUCCCAGCUACUCCAGGGGGCUGAGUAAGUAGAAGCACAUGAACCAGGCAGGUAGAAAUUGCAGUGAGCCGACGUCACGCCACUGCACUCUAGCCUGGGUAACAGAGCGAGACUCUGUCUCAAAAAAAAAAAGAGACACUCUGGAAGCUCUGUUGGAAUAGACUGUUGGGGGGAGGACAGGGGUAGUGGCAGAAGCAGACCUCAUAAAAGGCUACUGCAGAAAUAUGAUCAAGAGAUGAUGGUCAUUCGUAAAGAUGGUGAGAAGUAGUAAAGUUCUGAAUAUAUUUUGAGGGCAG